UGAUAAAAUAUGUCUCUAAAAAGUAUGUCACCCUGCUCUGAACGAGAACUCUCUUGCUCGCAGUGGACAGGCUCUUCCACAUGAUUUUGGCUUCCUUUUCUAUUAGCUUUCAGUUGUUUUGUUUUUAGCUAUGUGAUAUGGCGCUACUUAAAGCUCUGGUUUUUCUCCUUCUACUCAAGUAACUGGGUUGGGAUUGUUUGUUGCUGUUGUUUAAUUUUUAUUGGCGGAAGUCAGGAGUGAUCCUUCUCAGGACCUGCUGUGAACAUAGAGCUUGUAAUUCAUCACCACGGUGUUAGAGAGACAGACUGGAACCUGGACUCUUCCCAUGCCCAGCCUUAUCCUGGGACUCAAGUGUCUUCAGGGCACAGGCCUCCUGCUUGCUCACACGCAAUGAGGGAUUCCGCUCACUCUCCUUCUCGCCCAGUGCCCGCCCUAUGGUUCUGGUGGGGGUGCAGGUGUGUUCAGAGCAGUUCUUCUCAAACUCCAGUGUGCAUCCACGCCACCUGAGGCUCUUGUUUACAUGCAGUCUGUGACGCGUGCAGGCUGAGGGGGGCCCGCGUGUCCUUAUUCCAAGAAAGCACCCCCGGACGUCAGUGUCCUGGGCUGUGGGCAGCAGCGGUGCAGGACGCCCCCCGCCAUGAGCUACAGUCAAGCAGGCUGUCUGUGAACCCGCGCAGGACACGGGGACGGGAGCGAGAGGAGAGGGGCCCUUACCUGACAUCAGUUACCCAUUCCACACCAGUCACCUGCCCUGCUAAUUGAAGACCCUGGGAAGACGAAUCUAUUCACAGAGAAGACGUUGGCAAAAGAAAAUAGACCCCUCGGAAGGAAAACGGCUUGGUUACUGUUUCAGCUAAGAAGUGAGAUGAGAUAUGAAGCGAUGUUUCAUUUCACGUUACCUGAAACGUCUCAGAUAAAGUCUUCCCUAGCCCCUGGAACUGAAUAAGGAGACACAGACAAGCCUUUAUGACUAGCAGCAGAGAAUAAGAGCUCCGUCUCACCGCAUUUCAGCGACCUUGCUGUGUGAGUUGUUUCUUCCAGUUCUUUGGAGUGAUUUAGCUGAACAGGUGCAAGUGGUCUGAAAGAUAGAGGAAGAGCAAGCCACCAGAGACAAGGCAGUGAGGACUCUGUCCACAUCAUAUUUCCGUGUUUGUUCUAUUUGUCAAAGACCACCCUCCACAGUUUAAACCAGAGACACUGAACAAGACGAAAGAAAAAGAAGAUAGGAUAAAAUAGAAAUACAGCUUAAGUAUAUCCCCAGGUACUAAACAAGAGAGUAAAUAGUUAAUAAUACUGUGUUAUAUAUUGGAUUGGCCAAAACAUUUGUUCAGUUUUUCUGUAAGAUGGCUCUCAUAUUGCCUAGUCAUCUUUAACUUCAUUCGAAACAACUUUGUUAGAUUGUUUUGUGACAGCUGUCAUAUAGGCAUGCAUUAAAAAAAAAUUCAAAAUUGGUGAAUUUUGUGUAGCCACUUCAAUUUUCAAGAUGGAAGAGUAAAAGCAACAUUUGGGGUAUAGUAUGCUCUAUUAUUUCAAGAAAAGUAAAAACGAAACUGAAACACCAAAAAAAAAAAAAAGAUUUCUCCAGUGUAUGGCGAAGGUGCUGUGACUGAUCGAACAUAUCAAAACUAGUUUGCAAAGUUUUCUGCUGGAGAUUUCUCCCUGGACCAUGCUUCCUGGUCGGGUAGACAAGUUGAAGUUGAUAGUGAUCAAAUCAAGACAGUAAUUGAGAACAAUCAACAUUACGCCACUUGGGAGAUAGCCAACAUACUCAAAAUGUCCAAAUCAAGUAUCGAGAAUCAUUUCCACCAAGUUGGUACGUUAAUCGCUUUGAUGUUCGGAUUCCACAUAAGUUAAGUGAAUAAAACCUUGAUUGUAUUUCCACAUGCAAUUCUUUACUUAAACAUGAGGGAAACCUUCCAUUUUUAAAACAAAUUGUGACGGUCGAUGAAAAAUGGAGACUGUGCAAGAAAGUGGGAUGGAAGAGAUCAUGGAGCAAAUGAAAUGAACCACCACUAACCAGAGGCCGGUCUUCAUCCAAAGAAGGUGACGUUGUGUAUAUGGUGGGAUUGGAAGGGAGUCCUCUAUUAUGAGCUCCUUCCAGAAAAACAAAUGAUUAAUUCCCAAAAAUACUGCUCCCAAUUAGACGACUGAAAGCAGCAUUCGACGAAAGCGUCCGGAAGGAGCCGACAGAAAACGCAUCACCUCCUGUCAGGACGACACAGGCUGCAGGUUUCUCUGACGACGGUGCAACUCGGCUGCGAAGCUCUGGUGCAUCCGCCUCGUUCACCAGACGCUACACCUUCAGAUGUCCUUUCCUUUCGGUCUCUACGACGUUCUCUCAAUGGAAACCGUUUCAACGCCCUGGAAGACAGUAAGAGGCACCUGGAGCAGUUCUUUGCUCAAAAACAUAAAAUGUUUUGGGAAGGCGGAAGUAUGAAGUUGCCUGAGCAAUGGCAGAAUGUCAUGGAGCCAAACAGUGAAUGCAUGGUCCAAUAAAAUUCUCAGUGGAAAUAAAAAAUGUGUCUUUUAUUUUUACUUAAAAACUUGAAGGAACUUUUUGGCCAAUCCAAUAUUUGACGCUGCUAACAGAGUAGACCUUAAAUGUUCUCACACAAAAAAGAAGUGAUAAUUACGUGAUGGGAGGCAGGUGGAAGCCUGUACUGUUUAAUAUGAUAUAAUCAUUUUGCAACAUAAGAAUGUAUCAAAUCAACACUCAGUGUACCUUAAACAUACACAGUGGUGUAUGUCAAUUAUAUCUCAGUAAAGCUAGAAAAAAUUUUAAAAAGAGAGUAACAGGAAAACAUGUAGGGUGUUACUUGAAUGUUUUUGUAAGAUAGUAGAAUGACUUCAACAGGAGCAUCGAUUUCACUAAAGUUUUAUACGAAAAUAUCUGCAGUCAAAAGUAGUGUUCAACUCUGCAUGAAAGCAAGUUACUUGAUGGAGGACAGUGCCGGCUCACUCCUGGCC
Molecule: long non-coding RNA, 2967 nt
Organism: Bos taurus (domestic cattle)
Lineage: Eukaryota; Metazoa; Chordata; Mammalia; Artiodactyla; Bovidae
Source: Ensembl